CGGGGUGCAGCAGGCGCGAAACCUUUACACUGCACGCCAGUGCGAUAAGGGGAUCCCAAGUGCGUAGGCAUAGAGCCUACGCUUUUGUCCACCCUAGGGUGGUGGACGAAUAAGGGCUGGGCAAGACCGGUGCCAGCCGCCGCGGUAACACCGGCAGCCCGAGUGAUGGCCGAUAUUAUUGGGCCUAAAGCGUCCGUAGCUGGCCGCGUAGGUCCGUCGGGAAAUCUACUGGCUUAACCAGUAGGCGUCCGGCGGAAACCUCGUGGCUUGGGACCGGAAGACCUGAGGGGUACGUCUGGGGUAGGAGUGAAAUCCCGUAAUCCUGGACGGACCACCGGUGGCGAAAGCGCCUCAGGAAGACGGACCCGACAGUGAGGGACGAAAGCUAGGGUCUCGAACCGGAUUAGAUACCCGGGUAGUCCUAGCCGUAAACGAUGCUCGUUAGGUGUGGCGCAGGCUACGAGCCUGCGCUGUGCCGUAGGGAAGCCGAGAAACGAGCCGCCUGGGAAGUACGUCCGCAAGGAUGAAACUUAAAGGAAUU
RNAcentral lists this ribosomal RNA (541 nucleotides) under uncultured archaeon. RNAcentral's name for it is "bacterial SSU rRNA". It matches the Rfam family "Archaeal small subunit ribosomal RNA", at positions 326 to 866 of the family's 1478-position model. The record is from RNAcentral.